UGGGGAAUAUUGGACAAUGGGCGCAAGCCUGAUCCAGCCAUGCCGCGUGAGUGAUGAAGGCCCUAGGGUUGUAAAGCUCUUUUGUGCGGGAAGAUAAUGACGGUACCGCAAGAAUAAGCCCCGGCUAACUUCGUGCCAGCAGCCGCGGUAAUACGGAGGGGGCUAGCGUUGUUCGGAAUUACUGGGCGUAAAGCGCACGUAGGCGGCUUUGUAAGUUAGAGGUGAAAGCCCGGAGCUCAACUCCGGAACUGCCUUUAAGACUGCAUCGCUUGAACGUCGGAGAGGUAAGUGGAAUUCCGAGUGUAGAGGUGAAAUUCGUAGAUAUUCGGAAGAACACCAGUGGCGAAGGCGACUUACUGGACGACUGUUGACGCUGAGGUGCGAAAGCGUGGGGAGCAAAC
This 401-nucleotide ribosomal RNA is filed under the name uncultured bacterium. RNAcentral's name for it is "bacterial SSU rRNA". It matches the Rfam family "Bacterial small subunit ribosomal RNA", at positions 355 to 773 of the family's 1533-position model. The record is from RNAcentral.